CUGCGAGUGAAGAGGGAAGAGCUCAAAUUUGAAUCUGUCAGUCCCUGAGGCUGUCCGAGUUGUAAAUUAGAGAAGUGCUAUCCGCGCUGGCCUGUGCACAAGUCUUUUGGAAAAAAGCAUCAUAGAGGGUGAAAAUCCCGUCUAUUGGCAUAGCAUCCCAGGGCUUUGUGAUGCGCUCUCAACGAGUCGAGUUGUUUGGGAAUGCAGCUCUAAUUGGGUGGUAAAUUCCAUCUAAAGCUAAAUAUAGGCGAGAAACCGAUAGCGAACAAGUACCGUGAGGGAAAGAUGAAAAGAACUUUGGAAAGAGAGUUAAACCGUAUGUGAAAUCGUUGGAAGGGAAACGCUUAAAGUCAGUCGUCUUUGUCGGGGAUCAGCUUGGCACUUGUGUCUUGCGCACUUCCCGGUAGAGGGGUCAGCAUCAAUUUGAUGGUUGGACAAAGGCUUGGGAAAUGUAGCAUCUUCGGGUGUGUUAUAGUCUCAGGUCGUAUACAACCGUUUGGAUUGAGGAACUCAGUGUGAACUUGGGGCUUCGGCUCACAACCCGCACUUAGGAUGCUGGCAUAAUGGCUUUAAUCGACCCGUCUUGAAACACGGACCAAGGAGUCUAACAUGCCUGCAAGUAUUUGGGUGGUAAACCCAUAUGCGUAAUGAAAGUGAAAGUUGAGAUCUCUGUCAUGGAGAGCAUCGACGCCCGGACUGGAGCUCUUGCAAUAGUCCCGCGGUAGAGCAUGUAUGUUGGGACCCGAAAGAUGGUGACUAUGCCUGAAUAGGGUGAAGCCAGAGAACUCUGGUGGAAGCUCGUAGCGAUUCUGACGUGCAAUCGAUCGUCGAAUUKGGUAUAGGGAAACUAAUCGAACUAGUAGCUGGUUCCUGCCGAAGUUUCCCUCAGGAUAGCAGACACUCAUUAAAUCAGUUUUAUGUGGUAAAGCGAAUGAUUAGAGGCCUUGGGGUUGAAACAACCUUAACCUAUUCUCAAACUUUAAAUAUGUAAGAUCGGGUGGUUUCUUGAUUGAACCACUCCGGCGAAUGAGAGUGUCUAGUGGGCCAUUUUUGGUAAGCAGAACCGGCGAUGCGGGAUGAACCGAACGCGAGGUUAAGGUGCCGGAAUCUACACUCAUCAGACACCACAAAAGGUGUUAGUUCAUCUAGACAGCAGGACGGUGGCCAUGGAAGUCGGAAUCCGCUAAGGAGUGUGUAACAACUCACCUGCCGAAUGAACUAGCCCUGAAAAUGGAUGGCGCUUAAGUGUAGUACCCAUACCUCGCC
This 1266-nucleotide ribosomal RNA is filed under the name Hyphodontiella aff. multiseptata. RNAcentral describes it as "partial large subunit ribosomal RNA". It matches the Rfam family "Eukaryotic large subunit ribosomal RNA", at positions 87 to 1353 of the family's 3401-position model. Lineage: Eukaryota; Fungi; Basidiomycota; Agaricomycetes; Agaricales; Clavariaceae. The record is from RNAcentral.